This is a small nuclear RNA of Solea senegalensis (Senegalese sole), 163 nucleotides long. RefSeq annotates it as U1 spliceosomal RNA. The transcript has a single exon. NCBI's taxonomy places the organism in Eukaryota, Metazoa, Chordata, Actinopteri, Pleuronectiformes, Soleidae. The record is from RefSeq and is a predicted model, not a curated record.
AUACUUACCUGGCAGGGGAGAUACCAUGAUCAAGCAGGCUGUUCACCCAGGGAGAGGCUCAGCCAUUGCACUCCGGCUGUGUUGACCCCUGCAAAUUCCCCAAACGUGGGGAGUCUUGACUGUUGGCUCUUUUGCUAGUGGGGUGCCGCGUCCGCCGCUCGAU